This 253-nucleotide ribosomal RNA is filed under the name uncultured bacterium. RNAcentral describes it as "partial 16S ribosomal RNA". It matches the Rfam family "Bacterial small subunit ribosomal RNA", at positions 524 to 776 of the family's 1533-position model. The record is from RNAcentral.
UACGUAGGGUGCAAGCGUUGUCCGGAAUUAUUGGGCGUAAAGAGCUCGUAGGCGGUUUGUUGCGUCGGCUGUGAAAACUCGAGGCUCAACCUCGAGACGUCGGCGGAAACCAUCUGGCUAGAGUCCGGAAGAGGAGAGUGGAAUUCCUGGUGUAGCGGUGAAAUGCGCAGAUAUCAGGAAGAACACCCGUGGCGAAGGCAGCUUGCUGGGACGGUACUGACGCUGAGACGCGAAAGCGUGGGGAGCAAACAGG